RNAcentral lists this ribosomal RNA (1519 nucleotides) under Serratia entomophila. RNAcentral's name for it is "bacterial SSU rRNA". It matches the Rfam family "Bacterial small subunit ribosomal RNA". Lineage: Bacteria; Pseudomonadati; Pseudomonadota; Gammaproteobacteria; Enterobacterales; Yersiniaceae. The record is from RNAcentral.
AGAGUUUGAUCAUGGCUCAGAUUGAACGCUGGCGGCAGGCCUAACACAUGCAAGUCGAGCGGUAGCACGGGAGAGCUUGCUCUCUGGGUGACGAGCGGCGGACGGGUGAGUAAUGUCUGGGAAACUGCCUGAUGGAGGGGGAUAACUACUGGAAACGGUAGCUAAUACCGCAUAACGUCUACGGACCAAAGUGGGGGACCUUCGGGCCUCACGCCAUCAGAUGUGCCCAGAUGGGAUUAGCUAGUAGGUGGGGUAAUGGCUCACCUAGGCGACGAUCCCUAGCUGGUCUGAGAGGAUGACCAGCCACACUGGAACUGAGACACGGUCCAGACUCCUACGGGAGGCAGCAGUGGGGAAUAUUGCACAAUGGGCGCAAGCCUGAUGCAGCCAUGCCGCGUGUGUGAAGAAGGCCUUCGGGUUGUAAAGCACUUUCAGCGAGGAGGAAGGGCGAUGUCUUAAUACGGCAUCGCAUUGACGUUACUCGCAGAAGAAGCACCGGCUAACUCCGUGCCAGCAGCCGCGGUAAUACGGAGGGUGCAAGCGUUAAUCGGAAUUACUGGGCGUAAAGCGCACGCAGGCGGUUUGUUAAGUCAGAUGUGAAAUCCCCGCGCUUAACGUGGGAACUGCAUUUGAAACUGGCAAGCUAGAGUCUCGUAGAGGGGGGUAGAAUUCCAGGUGUAGCGGUGAAAUGCGUAGAGAUCUGGAGGAAUACCGGUGGCGAAGGCGGCCCCCUGGACGAAGACUGACGCUCAGGUGCGAAAGCGUGGGGAGCAAACAGGAUUAGAUACCCUGGUAGUCCACGCUGUAAACGAUGUCGAUUUGGAGGUUGUGCCCUUGAGGCGUGGCUUCCGGAGCUAACGCGUUAAAUCGACCGCCUGGGGAGUACGGCCGCAAGGUUAAAACUCAAAUGAAUUGACGGGGGCCCGCACAAGCGGUGGAGCAUGUGGUUUAAUUCGAUGCAACGCGAAGAACCUUACCUACUCUUGACAUCCAGAGAACUUNNNNNNNNNNUCGGGAACUCUGAGACAGGUGCUGCAUGGCUGUCGUCAGCUCGUGUUGUGAAAUGUUGGGUUAAGUCCCGCAACGAGCGCAACCCUUAUCCUUUGUUGCCAGCGAUUCGGUCGGGAACUCAAAGGAGACUGCCGGUGAUAAACCGGAGGAAGGUGGGGAUGACGUCAAGUCAUCAUGGCCCUUACGAGUAGGGCUACACACGUGCUACAAUGGCGUAUACAAAGAGAAGCGAGCUCGCGAGAGUAAGCGGACCUCAUAAAGUACGUCGUAGUCCGGAUUGGAGUCUGCAACUCGACUCCAUGAAGUCGGAAUCGCUAGUAAUCGUAGAUCAGAAUGCUACGGUGAAUACGUUCCCGGGCCUUGUACACACCGCCCGUCACACCAUGGGAGUGGGUUGCAAAAGAAGUAGGUAGCUUAACCUUCGGGAGGGCGCUUACCACUUUGUGAUUCAUGACUGGGGUGAAGUCGUAACAAGGUAACCGUAGGGGAACCUGCGGUUGGAUCACCU